ACUGUGGAGUGCAUAAAAAAAUGUGAGUAGUAUAUUUAAUUUUAUAAAUUACAAAAGCAUGUACUAUGAAGCAGUAA
The submitters of this non-coding RNA (77 nucleotides) gave its source as unclassified sequences. The record is from Rfam.